RNAcentral lists this ribosomal RNA (352 nucleotides) under uncultured bacterium. RNAcentral describes it as "bacterial SSU rRNA". It matches the Rfam family "Bacterial small subunit ribosomal RNA", at positions 1 to 350 of the family's 1533-position model. The record is from RNAcentral.
UCAGAGUUUGUCAGGCUCAGGAUGAACGCUAGCUACAGGCUUAACACAUGCAAGUCGAGGGGAAACGAUAUUGGAAGCUUGCUUCCGAUAGGCGUCGACCGGCGCACGGGUGAGUAACGCGUAUCCAACCUGCCCACCACUUGGGGAUAACCUUGCGAAAGUAAGACUAAUACCCAAUGACGUCUCUAGAAGACAUCUGAAAGAGAUUAAAGAUUUAUCGGUGAUGGAUGGGGAUGCGUCUGAUUAGCUUGUUGGCGGGGUAACGGCCACCAAGGCUACGAUCAGUAGGGGUUCUGAGAGGAAGGUCCCCCACAUUGGAACUGAGACACGGUCCAAACUCCUACGGGAGGCA